Molecule: ribosomal RNA, 1889 nt
Filed under: human gut metagenome
Description: bacterial LSU rRNA
Rfam family: Bacterial large subunit ribosomal RNA
Source: RNAcentral
UCAAGCUAAGAAGAGCGCAGGGCGAAUGCCUUGGCACUGGGAGCCGAAGAAGGACGCGAUAAGCUGCGAUAAGCUGCGGGGAGGAGCAAAUAUCCAUUGAUCCGCAGAUUUCCGAAUGGAGAAAUCCGUAUGGAGAAGUCCAUACAUCAUAUACUGAAUCCAUAGGUAUAUGAGGGAAACCGCCUGAACUGAAACAUCUAAGUAGGGCGAGGAAAAGAAAUCAACCGAGAUACCGCAAGUAGUGGCGAGCGAACGCGGCAGAGGCCAAACCCGUAGUAGAAAUACUAUGGGGGUUGCGGACUGCAUUUAGCAUUGUUGAUCUUUAACCGAAGGGCAUGGGAAGGCCCACCGAAGAACGUGAGAGUCGUGUAGGUGAAAAGGAGAGACAGCGAGCAGGAUCCAGAGUACCGCGGGACACGAGGAAUCCCGUGGGAAGCCGGGGGGACCACCCUCCAAGCCUAAAUACUACCCAGUGACCGAUAGCGUAUAGUACUGUGAAGGAAAGGUGAAAAGGACCCCGGGAGGGGAGUGAAAGAGAACCUGAAACCUUGUGCCUACAAGCACAUAGAGCCCGUCAAAGGGUGAUAUGGUACUUUUUGUAGAACGGUCCGGCGAGCGAUUGUACGUUGCGAGCUUAAGGUCUUAAGGACUGGAGGCGUAGCGAGAGCGAGUCUAAACAGGGCGUUUAGUAGCGUGCAAUGGGCCCGAAACCGGGUGACCUACCCAUGAUCAGGCUGAAGUGAAAGUAAAAUUUCAUGGAGGGCCGAACCGACCUCCGUUGAAAAGGCGGCGGAUGAAUUGUGGGUAGCGGAGAAAUUCCAAUCGAACUCGGAGAUAGCUGGUUCUCCCCGAAAUAGCUUUAGGGCUAGCCUCAUAUUAGAUACCCGGAGGUAAAGCACUGAAUGGCCUAGCGCCCGAGAGGGUAGCGAAGCCUAUCAAACUAAGAAUGCCGGAGUAUUGAUGUAUGGGAGUCAGACAGUGUGAGAUAAAUCUCAUUGUCAAAAGGGAAACAGCCCAGAUCUACAGCUAAGGUCCCAAAUUGUAUCUAAGUGGAAAACGAUGUGGAAAUACGCAGACAACCAGGAUGUUGGCUCAGAAGCAGCCACUCAUUUAAAGAGUGCGUAAUAGCUCACUGGUCGAGCGUCUCUGCGCGGAAAAUUUAACGGGGCUAAGAUACAAACCGAAGCUUAGGCUGCACGAAAGUGCGGGGUAGGGGAGCGUUGUGUAAGCGGAGAAACAGUAGCGUAAGCGGCUGUGGAGUUUACAGAAGUGAGAAUGCCGGAAUGAGUAGCGCGAAUGUGGUGAGAAUCCACAUGGCCGGAAACCUCAGGUUUUUGGAGGAAGGUUCGUCCGCUCCAAGUUAGGCGGGAGCUAAGGUGAGGCCGAAAGGCGUAGCCGAUGCACAGACGGUAGAGAUUCCGUCCCCACCGAAAGAUUUAAGCGCAGGGACACUUUUAGAAGGUCGGAGCCAGGUGUUGGUUCUGGUAGAGAUCGAGGGAAGAUUAGUACCGAAGUCCGGCUGGAUAAGAGGCGAGAAAAGCUGCGUGUAUAUCUAAGGUGCCCGUACCGCAAACCGACACAGGUAGGUAGGAAGAAGAUUCUAAGGCCAACGGGAGAAGGGUUGUUAAGGAACUCGGCAAAUUGACCCCGUAACUUCGGGAGAAGGGGUGCUCCAGAGAUGGAGCCGCAGAGAAUCGGCCCAAGCAACUGUUUACCAAAAACACAGGUUUGUGCUAAAUCGAAAGAUGACGUAUACGAGCUGACGCCUGCCCGGUGCUGGAAGGUUAAGAGGAGAUGUGCAAGCAUUGAAUCGAAGCCCCAGUGAACGGCGGCCGUAACUAUAACGGUCCUAAGGUAGCGAAAUUCCUUGUCAGGUAAGUUCUGACCCG